This 423-nucleotide ribosomal RNA is filed under the name uncultured organism. RNAcentral's name for it is "bacterial SSU rRNA". It matches the Rfam family "Bacterial small subunit ribosomal RNA", at positions 355 to 775 of the family's 1533-position model. The record is from RNAcentral.
UGAGGAAUAUUGGACAAUGGGUGAGAGCCUGAUCCAGCCAUCCCGCGUGCAGGAAGACGGCCCUAUGGGUUGUAAACUGCUUUUAUACAGGAAUAAACCAUUUUUCGUGAAGGAUGUUGAAGGUACUGUAUGAAUAAGCAUCGGCUAACUCCGUGCCAGCAGCCGCGGUAAUACGGAGGAUGCAAGCGUUAUCCGGAUUUAUUGGGUUUAAAGGGUCCGUAGGCGGGCUAAUAAGUCAGUGGUGAAAUCGAGCAGCUUAACUGUUCAACUGCCAUUGAAACUGUUGGUCUUGAGUGAAUUUGAAGUUGCCGGAAUAUGUAGUGUAGCGGUGAAAUGCAUAGAUAUUACAUAGAACACCAAUUGCGAAGGCAGGUAACUAAGAUUUAACUGACGCUGAUGGACGAAAGCGUGGGGAGCGAACAG